CCUACGGGAGGCAGCAGUGAGGAAUAUUGGUCAAUGGGCGGCAGCCUGAACCAGCCAAGUCGCGUGAGGGACUACGGCCCUACGGGUCGUAAACCUCUUUUGCCGGGGAUCAGUGCCCAGCUCGCGAGCUGGGAGGGAGCGUACCCGGAGAAAAAGCAUGGGCUACCUCCGUGCCAGCAGCCCGGGUAAUCCGGAGGAUGCGCGAGUUAUCCGGUGUUUUGGGGGUUAAAGGGUGCGCAGGGGUGACUUCAGGCCGGCGGUAAAAUUGGGGGGCUCACCCCCGCCGAGCCGUUGGAAACGGGGGCCUUGAGUACCGGAGAAGUACGCGGAAUGCGUGGUGUAGCGGUGAAAUGCAUAGAUAUCACGCAGAACUCCGAUUGCGAAGGCAGCGUACCGGCCGGUCACUGACGCUGAGGCACGAAAGCGCGGGUAUCGAACAGGAUUAGAUACCCUUGUAGUC
This 460-nucleotide ribosomal RNA is filed under the name uncultured bacterium. RNAcentral's name for it is "partial 16S ribosomal RNA". It matches the Rfam family "Bacterial small subunit ribosomal RNA", at positions 338 to 795 of the family's 1533-position model. The record is from RNAcentral.